RNAcentral lists this ribosomal RNA (1189 nucleotides) under Vibrio renipiscarius. RNAcentral describes it as "bacterial LSU rRNA". It matches the Rfam family "Bacterial large subunit ribosomal RNA", at positions 1766 to 2925 of the family's 2925-position model. The record is from RNAcentral. Lineage: Bacteria; Pseudomonadati; Pseudomonadota; Gammaproteobacteria; Vibrionales; Vibrionaceae.
GCUAUUGGGAGUCGCAGAUACCAGGUGGCUGCAACUGUUUAUUAAAAACACAGCACUGUGCAAAAUCGUAAGAUGACGUAUACGGUGUGACGCCUGCCCGGUGCCGGAAGGUUAAUUGAUGGGGUUAGACUUCGGUCGAAGCUCUUGAUCGAAGCCCCGGUAAACGGCGGCCGUAACUAUAACGGUCCUAAGGUAGCGAAAUUCCUUGUCGGGUAAGUUCCGACCUGCACGAAUGGCGUAAUGAUGGCCACGCUGUCUCCACCCGAGACUCAGUGAAAUUGAAAUCGCUGUGAAGAUGCAGUGUACCCGCGGCUAGACGGAAAGACCCCGUGAACCUUUACUACAGCUUGGCACUGAACAUUGACCCUACAUGUGUAGGAUAGGUGGGAGCCUUUGAAGCAAGUACGCCAGUAUUUGUGGAGGCAAUCUUGAAAUACCACCCUUGUAUGCUUGAUGUUCUAACGUUGGCCCCUUAUCGGGGUUACGGACAGUGCCUGGUGGGUAGUUUGACUGGGGCGGUCUCCUCCCAAAGAGUAACGGAGGAGCACGAAGGUGGGCUAAACACGGUUGGACAUCGUGUGGUUAGUGCAAUGGCAUAAGCCCGCUUAACUGCGAGAAUGACGGUUCGAGCAGGUACGAAAGUAGGUCAUAGUGAUCCGGUGGUUCUGUAUGGAAGGGCCAUCGCUCAACGGAUAAAAGGUACUCCGGGGAUAACAGGCUGAUACCGCCCAAGAGUUCAUAUCGACGGCGGUGUUUGGCACCUCGAUGUCGGCUCAUCACAUCCUGGGGCUGAAGUCGGUCCCAAGGGUAUGGCUGUUCGCCAUUUAAAGUGGUACGCGAGCUGGGUUUAGAACGUCGUGAGACAGUUCGGUCCCUAUCUGCCGUGGGCGUUGGAAAAUUGAAAGGGGCUGCUCCUAGUACGAGAGGACCGGAGUGGACGAACCUCUGGUGUUCGGGUUGUCACGCCAGUGGCAUUGCCCGGUAGCUAAGUUCGGAAUCGAUAAGCGCUGAAAGCAUCUAAGCGCGAAGCGAGCCUUGAGAUGAGUUUUCCCUGGCACUUUAAGUGCCCUAAAGGGUUGUUCGAGACUAGAACGUUGAUAGGCAGGGUGUGUAAGCGCUGUGAGGCGUUGAGCUAACCUGUACUAAUUGCCCGUGAGGCUUAACCAUACAACACCCAAGGGGUUUUGUA